This 301-nucleotide ribosomal RNA is filed under the name uncultured bacterium. RNAcentral describes it as "partial 16S ribosomal RNA". It matches the Rfam family "Bacterial small subunit ribosomal RNA", at positions 509 to 807 of the family's 1533-position model. The record is from RNAcentral.
CAGCCGCCGCGGUAAUACGUAGGGCGCGAGCGUUGUCCGGAAUUAUUGGGCGUAAAGAGCUCGUAGGCGGCUGGUCGCGUCUGUCGUGAAAUCCUCUGGCUUAACUGGGGGCUUGCGGUGGGUACGGGCCGGCUUGAGUGCGGUAGGGGAGGUUGGAACUCCUGGUGUAGCGGUGGAAUGCGCAGAUAUCAGGAAGAACACCGGUGGCGAAGGCGGGUCUCUGGGCCGUUACUGACGCUGAGGAGCGAAAGCGUGGGGAGCGAACAGGAUUAGAUACCCCUGUAGUCCCUGUCUCUUAUAC